UUUAAGAAGAUAUUCCAAAACAAGGCCAUGCACACAUGUUUGGUCAAACAUAUUGUGUCCACUCCAUGCUCAUGCCGUCAUGCCUAUAUAUACACAUAGUAUUAGCUAGAGGCUAUACUUGUCAACAACAUCAAAAGAAAGAGAAAAUUAUAUAAAGAGAAACGGUGACAUGAAGAAUGAGAAGUUGUGUGGUAGCCAAGUGAUAUGAUCCUCAGAGGAGGAGGAACCAGAGAUAGCUGGCAGGAUUACUCGUUCCAGAGCUAGAGAGAUGGUUAAGGAGGCUCACGCACUCAUUGCCACAGAGGACAGCGAUCACCAGGAGGCUGGAGCUCACAUCUUCAACAUCUCUAUCUUGAAGAAUGAAGAAUCCAGUAACAAUGACUAUGUAACUUAGGUGAUGAUUUUGUACUCUUUUCCUUGGUGAAGAUUUUGGAAGGCAAGGAGGUUCUUCUCCAAGGUUUUUAACGAGGCAGAAAUCAUUGCUACGUCGAGUUACUUAGAAGUUGUUACUAAUGGGUAAUAAUGUGCAAAGUCAAAAUGACUUGUGCACUAGUUGUUUUAGGCGCACCACUUAGGAUUAGAAGGGACGCCUCGCUGUUUUUAUUUUAAAUCAAACUUCAUGUUGUUUUUAUUUAAAUUUCAUGUAGUUUUGUUUCUUUAGGGCUGCGAUUUCUCUAAGUCUAUAUAAUAGAGAAAUCGCCUAAGUCAUUAGGCAGCUUGGAAUUUUAACGUAAAAGAGAUAGCAAAGUUUGCUUUGACUCCUUGACUCAAAAAGUUCAUUGAAUUCGAUUUUCUUACAAGUGAUUCUUACAAGAAAAUCUGCUACCUAUCAUCUAAUCGAUUUCAUCAUCUUCUCUUCUCAUCCACCACCAUAUCCAUCGAACUCAUCCCUCC
RNAcentral lists this long non-coding RNA (894 nucleotides) under Eutrema salsugineum. RNAcentral's name for it is "long non-coding RNA (ESAL_LNC000614)". Lineage: Eukaryota; Viridiplantae; Streptophyta; Magnoliopsida; Brassicales; Brassicaceae. The record is from RNAcentral.